Molecule: ribosomal RNA, 451 nt
Filed under: uncultured bacterium
Lineage: Bacteria
Description: partial 16S ribosomal RNA
Rfam family: Bacterial small subunit ribosomal RNA
Source: RNAcentral
AACGAACGCUGGCGGCAUGCCUAACACAUGCAAGUCGAGCGCCCGUAGCAAUACGGGAGCGGCGCACGGGUGAGUAACGCGUGGGAACCUGCCCAGAGGUUCGGGACAACCGCGGGAAACUGCGGCUGAUACCGGAUGAUACCUGAGGGUCAAAGAUUUAUCGCCUUUGGAGGGGCCCGCGUCGGAUUAGGUAGUUGGUGGGGUAACGGCCUACCAAGCCUAUGAUCCGUAACUGGUCUGAGAGGAUGACCAGUCACACUGGGACUGGGACACGGCCAAGACUCCUACGGGAGGCAGCAGUGGGGAGUAUUGGACAAUGGGGGCAACCCUGAUCCAGCAAUGCCGCGUGGGUGAUGAAGGCCUUCGGGUUGUAAAGCCCUUUCGGCGGGGACGAUGAUGACGGUACCCGCAGAAGAAGCCCCGGCUAACUUCGUGCCAGCAGCCGCGGUAA